This 305-nucleotide ribosomal RNA is filed under the name uncultured bacterium. Its description in RNAcentral is "bacterial SSU rRNA". It matches the Rfam family "Bacterial small subunit ribosomal RNA", at positions 337 to 656 of the family's 1533-position model. The record is from RNAcentral.
UCCUACGGGGCGCAGCAGUGGGGAAUAUUGGGCAAUGGGGGAAACCCUGACCCAGCAACGCCGCGUGAGGGAAGAAGGCUUUCGGGUUGUAAACCUCUGCCCUUGGGGACGAAGUAAGUGACGGUACCCAAGGAGGAAGCUCCGGCUAACUACGUGCCAGCAGCCGCGGUAAUACGUAGGGAGCAAGCGUUGUCCGGAAUUACUGGGCGUAAAGGGUGCGUAGGCGGCCUGGUAAGUCAGAUGUGAAAUACCCGUGCUUAACAUGGGGGGUGCAUCUGAUACUGUCAGGCUUGAGUGCAGGAGUG